RNAcentral lists this long non-coding RNA (1366 nucleotides) under Struthio camelus australis. RNAcentral describes it as "lncRNA (ENSSCUG00000010379.1)". The record is from RNAcentral. Lineage: Eukaryota; Metazoa; Chordata; Aves; Struthioniformes; Struthionidae.
GUAACAGGACAAGAGGCAACGGGCGGAAACUGAACCACAGGAAGUUCCAUCUGAACCUGAGAAAAAACUUCUUUCCUGUGAGGGAGACAGAGCACUGGACCAGGUUGCCCAGAGGGGUAGUGGAGUCUCCUUCGCUGGAGAUAUUCAAAACCCACCUGGACACGAUCCUGGGCAAUGUGCUCUAGAGGACCCUGCUUGAGCAGGGGGGUUGGACUAGAUAAUUUCCAGAGGUCCCUUCCAACCGUUGGCCGUUCUUUGAUUCUGUGAUUUUUCAGCAGAAAUUUUGCUCCAGCUGUGAUGUCUCUAUGUUUCUCUUUCUGCCUUACACAGGUGAUUGAAACAGGCCUGGGAUGUGCUACUGUUCUGGUGUUUGACAUAGCAUGAAUGAGGGAGAUUUCAGAUGUUUCACUGCACCUUUUAAUAUAAAUUGUCAAAAAUUGUCCUAGCAUCAGAAAAACACACAUAUCCUUCACAAUAAAUCUUUAUGGCACAUCCCACGGCUUCUGAGUUUUGCUGUACUCUUUCUAACAUUUCUGUUCCUGAAAGGUCCCACUGGCCUUGGCCAGUGUAGUAUUGUUGUAUUUCUAAAUGUAGUGUUUCAAAUGUAGUAUUGUAGUAUUUCUAAAGUUGCCAUUUAGCAAGUGGCUGAGGAGGCUGUCCCACCGCUGCCUCUGGUUGUGGGUGCUCAGUGUGCCUGGGUCCUCCUGCAGCAGUAAAAGUCCCUUCAGCUCUUUAUUUCCUUUCCCAUUUCAGGCCCUCCCAAUUAAAUGUUGACAUUAUUACUGCUGGCUGAAGAGCAGUAUAUCUCACUGUAUUCCUUUUCACACCACACACCUGGCACAGUAUUAAAGAAUAUGGCUGGAACAGUGUAAGGCAGACUUCACCGGCAGUCAGGCCAGUUGUUCUUCAGCCAGGAGCAGUUCUUGCUCCAACCCUGGGCCAUCUUGGUGGAGACAGGCUGGUGAAAUGUGUUUUGUGCUCUUCAGAACCUGACCUUUCUCUUCAAACAAUGGAUGAGAGCUUCAGAGCAGCGCUCAGCCAGGAAGAUCCGAGAUUCAUCCUGACCAGAUGCAGCAUCUAGAUCUGAGCUCCCUUUGUGGCCAGUGGGACAAAACCGGCACCUACAGGUACAGCACAUCUCAUCCUACAGUAGGUUUCUAAGGUAGGAUUUCAACAGUAUCUCAGCUCCUUGCCUUGGGUAAAAAAAGUGCUUUCUCCUUAGCAGCAGGUGACUUCCUGUGACUCAAUGAUGUCUUCCCCAGAGUCUGCUCUCGCUGCCAAGCUGAAGGAUUGGUUUAUUAAAAGUAAUGAACUAAGGUGCCUGGUUUAAGAGUGAGAGAAUUCACAUGCUUUCCUCUGGGUGCAG